AAACCCUCGCUCUAUUUCAGAGAAUAGUGACGAGUUUGACUAACCUAUCUAGGUAGCCCCUGGGUUAUUAACUAACUCUACCCUAGAGUUCUUCCUGUUAAUUAGCCCAGCCUGGAGAGUCAAUGUCUUGUGCUAACUCUCACAAGAAAUCAAACUGCUGUCUGACCUUUUUCCUGUCAGCUCAUAGCACUCAACUCUCUCCCUGAAAACCUAGUUUCAAACUCUACACCUUCACACACCAGCUCUCAGCUCUCCACACUCUCUCACACACUCUUUCGCACUCCCCCUCUGAAGCUCUCUUUCUUCCCCUCUCUAAGACUUGGCUCCUUCCAACUCCUCUGGCCAAUCCUAGGAGUCUCCAAACUCAUUCCCUUUUCCAACCAUCCUCACUCAAGAUGGCUGCCUCCCUGGCAUUCUCUCCCAAAAUGGAGGCCUGCCAUACUGUUAUCCAGGCUCCCUUUCCGGCCUACCAGGAGAAAUAUACCUUUUUCCUAUACUACUAGCUCUGGAAUCACAGCACGGGCUCCGAAAGUCAAGCUGCGUUCUUUCAAGCUGCAGCUUCCCUCUCUUGAAACUAACAGGAACAGACAGAAGAUGAGCGAUUGCAGACUCCAGAACUGAUGUGUAUAACGAGGUUAAAAUCUCUUUGGCAAAAUUUUUCAUUCAACUCUGCUAAGUGAAUACUGAAUGAAUAAACAAGAAUAAAGCUCCUUACAAAUAA
Anolis carolinensis (green anole) is the source of this 721-nucleotide long non-coding RNA. RefSeq lists it as uncharacterized. Lineage: Eukaryota; Metazoa; Chordata; Lepidosauria; Squamata; Anolidae. The transcript has 3 exons. The record is from RefSeq and is a predicted model, not a curated record.